This 433-nucleotide ribosomal RNA is filed under the name uncultured bacterium. Its description in RNAcentral is "partial 16S ribosomal RNA". It matches the Rfam family "Bacterial small subunit ribosomal RNA", at positions 29 to 507 of the family's 1533-position model. The record is from RNAcentral.
AACGAACGCUGGCGGCAUGCCUAACACAUGCAAGUCGAACGAGACCUUCGGGUCUAGUGGCGCACGGGUGCGUAACGCGUGGGAACCUGCCCUUAGGUUCGGAAUACCUCCCCGAAAGGGGUGCUAAUACCGGAUAAUGUCUUCGGACCAAAGAUUUAUCGCCCUUGGAGGGGCCCGCGUUGGAUUAGCUAGUUGGUAGGGUAAAAGCCUACCAAGGCGACGAUCCAUAGCUGGUCUGAGAGGAUGAUCAGCCACACUGGGACUGAGACACGGCCCAGACUCCUACGGGAAGCAGCAGUGGGGAAUAUUGGACAAUGGGCGAAAGCCUGAUCCAGCAAGGCCGCGUGAGUGAUGAAGGCCGUAGGGUAGUAAAGCUCUUUUACCCGGGAUGAUAAUGACAGUACCGGGAGAAUAAGCACCGGCUAACUCCGUG